RNAcentral lists this ribosomal RNA (253 nucleotides) under uncultured bacterium. Its description in RNAcentral is "partial 16S ribosomal RNA". It matches the Rfam family "Bacterial small subunit ribosomal RNA", at positions 524 to 776 of the family's 1533-position model. The record is from RNAcentral.
UACGAAGGGGGCUAGCGUUGCUCGGAAUUACUGGGCGUAAAGCGCACGUAGGCGGCUUGUUAAGUCAGGGGUGGAAUCCUGGAGCUCAACUCCAGAACUGCCUUUGAUACUGGCGAGCUUGAGUUCGGGAGAGGUGAGUGGAACUGCGAGUGUAGAGGUGAAAUUCGUAGAUAUUCGCAAGAACACCAGUGGCGAAGGCGGCUCACUGGCCCGAUACUGACGCUGAGGUGCGAAAGCGUGGGGAGCAAACAGG